This 453-nucleotide long non-coding RNA is filed under the name Hordeum vulgare. Its description in RNAcentral is "long non-coding RNA (HVUL_LNC009473)". The record is from RNAcentral. Lineage: Eukaryota; Viridiplantae; Streptophyta; Magnoliopsida; Poales; Poaceae.
UAGAUGUUGUGCAAGAAAAAUAAAGGAAAGAAAAGAAAUGGAUAGAGAGAAGAAACAAAUCUCUCAGACUGGGUCAAAAGGGAUACCAUCACCUGCCAUGUUCCACAUCCUAAUUUAUUGGCGCCUCACCAGAAUGGGUUUGUCCUUCUUUUUGCAGCUUCUAUAGUUCACCGUCAUCCCCAAUUCCCCAUCGCUGACCCCGUCUCUUGGUCGGUUCUAGAGAGGCAGCCAUGGAGAGCCUGCACCGAUGAGGAUGCGGAUCGGUGGCCGAAGGGAGACCCAGCACCGAAGAGGAUGCGAAUCGACGGGUGGAGGGAGAGCCCGCCCCGACGAGGAUGCGGAUCAGCGGGCGGAGGGAGAGCUCUUCUUGAAGAGGUGAGUCACCUUCCCGUCGGGGAGGCACGUCCGCGGGAGCACACUAUGGCACCCAAGGUAGACGGGGUUGGCAGAGCC